Molecule: ribosomal RNA, 1129 nt
Filed under: Companilactobacillus farciminis
Lineage: Bacteria; Bacillati; Bacillota; Bacilli; Lactobacillales; Lactobacillaceae
Description: bacterial SSU rRNA
Rfam family: Bacterial small subunit ribosomal RNA
Source: RNAcentral
UACGGGAGGCAGCAGUAGGGAAUCUUCCACAAUGGGCGAAAGCCUGAUGGAGCAAUGCCGCGUGAGUGAAGAAGGUUUUCGGAUCGUAAAACUCUGUUGUUGAAGAAGAACAUGCGUGAGAGUAACUGUUCACGUACUGACGGUAUUCAACCAGAAAGCCACGGCUAACUACGUGCCAGCAGCCGCGGUAAUACGUAGGUGGCAAGCGUUGUCCGGAUUUAUUGGGCGUAAAGAGAAUGUAGGCGGUUUAUUAAGUUUGAAGUGAAAGCCCUCGGCUCAACCGAGGAAGUGCUUCGAAAACUGGUAAACUUGAGUGCAGAAGAGGAAAGUGGAACUCCAUGUGUAGCGGUGGAAUGCGUAGAUAUAUGGAAGAACACCAGUGGCGAAGGCGGCUUUCUGGUCUGUAACUGACGCUGAGAUUCGAAAGCAUGGGUAGCAAACAGGAUUAGAUACCCUGGUAGUCCAUGCCGUAAACGAUGAGUGCUAAGUGUUGGAGGGUUUCCGCCCUUCAGUGCUGCAGCUAACGCAUUAAGCACUCCGCCUGGGGAGUACGACCGCAAGGUUGAAACUCAAAGGAAUUGACGGGGGCCCGCACAAGCGGUGGAGCAUGUGGUUUAAUUCGAAGCAACGCGAAGAACCUUACCAGGUCUUGACAUACCAUGAAAAGCUAAGAGAUUAGUCUUUCCCUUCGGGGACAUGGAUACAGGUGGUGCAUGGUUGUCGUCAGCUCGUGUCGUGAGAUGUUGGGUUAAGUCCCGCAACGAGCGCAACCCUUAUUAUCAGUUGCCAGCAUUCAGUUGGGCACUCUGGUGAGACUGCCGGUGACAAACCGGAGGAAGGUGGGGACGACGUCAAAUCAUCAUGCCCCUUAUGACCUGGGCUACACACGUGCUACAAUGGUCGGUACAACGUGUUGCGAACUCGCGAGGGCAAGCAAAUCACUUAAAACCGAUCUCAGUUCGGAUUGCAGGCUGCAACUCGCCUGCAUGAAGCUGGAAUCGCUAGUAAUCGCGGAUCAGCAUGCCGCGGUGAAUACGUUCCCGGGCCUUGUACACACCGCCCGUCACACCAUGAGAGUUUGUAACACCCAAAGUCGGUGGGGUAACCCUUCGGGGAACUAGCCGCCUAA